GUGCUCGUUUGGCAGCACCUAUACUAAAACUGUGAAUGAUACAGAGAAAAUUAGCAUGGCCCCUGAACAAGAAUAGCACACAAAUUCAUGAAGCAUUUCAUAUUUUU
Molecule: small nuclear RNA, 107 nt
Organism: Cercocebus atys (sooty mangabey)
Lineage: Eukaryota; Metazoa; Chordata; Mammalia; Primates; Cercopithecidae
Source: Ensembl